RNAcentral lists this ribosomal RNA (476 nucleotides) under uncultured anaerobic ammonium-oxidizing bacterium. Its description in RNAcentral is "bacterial SSU rRNA". It matches the Rfam family "Bacterial small subunit ribosomal RNA", at positions 365 to 831 of the family's 1533-position model. The record is from RNAcentral.
UUCGCAAUGCCCGAAAGGGUGACGAAGCGACGCCGCGUGUGGGAAGAAGGCCUUCGGGUUGUAAACCACUGUCGGGAGUUAGGAAGUGCAAGGGCGUUAAUAGCGUUCUUGCUUGACUAAGGCUCCAGAGGAAGCCACGGCUAACUCUGUGCCAGCAGCCGCGGUAAUACAGAGGCGGCAAGCGUUGUUCGGAAUUAUUGGGCGUAAAGAGCACGUAGGCGGCCUUGCAAGUCAGUUGUGAAAGCCUUCCGCUCAACGGAAGAACGCCAGCUGAUACUACAGGGCUUGAGUACGGGAGGGGAGAGUGGAACUUCUGGUGGAGCGGUGAAAUGCGUAGAUAUCAGAAGGAACGCCGGCGGCGAAAGCGACUCUCUGGUCCGAAACUGACGCUGAGUGUGCGAAAGCUAGGGGAGCAAACGGGAUUAGAUACCCCGGUAGUCCUAGCCGUAAACGAUGGGCACUAAGUAGAGGGGUUU